This is a non-coding RNA of Ameiurus melas (black bullhead), 76 nucleotides long. The record is from the annotation of a GenBank genome assembly. NCBI's taxonomy places the organism in Eukaryota, Metazoa, Chordata, Actinopteri, Siluriformes, Ictaluridae.
AGGAGCAUGGUGGCUUAGUGGUUAGCAUGUUCACCUCACACCUCCAAGGUUGGGGGUUUGAUUCCCGCUGCUCUCC